Jatropha curcas is the source of this 3452-nucleotide RNA transcript. It is a transcript of the gene named Pentatricopeptide repeat (PPR-like) superfamily protein, with no coding region annotated. NCBI's taxonomy places the organism in Eukaryota, Viridiplantae, Streptophyta, Magnoliopsida, Malpighiales, Euphorbiaceae. The record is from RefSeq and is a predicted model, not a curated record.
GAUGGUAUAUGUAGCUUCAAUCUCUCUGACGAGUUGUUGCCAAGAAAAUGUCCUUAACGACACCUUCCUCAACUCUAUUUUCGCGCUAUGUUCCUUCUGCAUGUCCCAAUGGCCUCCACCAACAAUUACAAACUCCUACAGAAAAACUGUUAAAUCUCUUGAAACUAUGCCUUUCUACAAAGCCGCUACAACAAAUCCACACUCAAAUGCUCAUAAACUCAAUACAAAAACCCAAUUUCCUUCUCUCCAAAAUAAUUGCCCUUAAAGACUUUACAUAUGCUUCCCUUUUUUUUUCCCAAAUCCCCAAUCCCAAUGAUUAUGCGUUCAAUAUUAUGAUCCGAGGCCUGACAGCUACAUGGAGAAAAUACCCUCUUUCUAUUCAAUUAUAUUACCAGAUGAAGUUUUUAGGCCUAAAACCGAAUAAUUUCACUUACCCAUUUUUGUUCAUAUCAUGUGCAAAUCUUUUAGCAUUGAAUCAUGGGCAGGUAGGGCAUUCUAUGGUGUUUAAGAUUGGUUUGGAUCAGAAUUGUCAUGUGAAUCAUUCUUUGAUUACUAUGUAUGCAAGGUGUAGUGAAUUGGGAUAUGCAUACAAGGUAUUUGAUGAUAUUUGUGAGAGAGAUUUGGUGUCGUGGAAUUCGAUGAUUUCAGGGUACUCGAAAAUGGGUUUUGCACAAGAUGCAGUGAGGUUGUUCGGGGAAAUGAAGGAACAAGGGUUUGUGCCUGAUGAGAUGACAUUGGUGAGUGUUCUUGGAGCAUGUGGGGACUUGGGGGAUUUGAGUUUAGGGAAGUGGGUGGAAGGGUUUGUUGAUGAGAAGAAGAUGGAGUUGAAUACAUAUUUAGGGUCUGCUCUGAUUGAUAUGUAUGGGAAGUGUGGGGAUUUGACAUCGGCAAGGAGAGUCUUUGAUGGAAUGGUGAAGAAGGAUGUUGUGGCUUGGAAUGCCAUGAUCACUGGUUAUGCACAGAAUGGAGCAUCAGAUGACGCAAUUACACUGUUCAAUGACAUGAGAGAGUCAGGCGUAGAUCCAGAUAAUGUCACAAUGGUGGUUGUACUAUCUGCAUGUGCUUUAAUUGGGGCCCUUGAUAUGGGAAAAUGGGUUGAGACAUAUGCAUUACAGAGGGGCUCUCAACAUGACGUGUACGUUGCCAGUGCUUUAGUUGAUAUGUAUGCAAAGUGUGGGAACUUAGACAAUGCACUAAGGGUUUUUGAAAGCAUGCCUCAUAAAAAUGAGGUCUCCUGGAAUGCCAUGAUUUCUGCUCUUGCUUUUCAUGGGAGAGCUCAGGAAACAUUAUCAUUAUUCAGGCGCAUGCUAAAUGAUGGUAGUGUUGAACCAAAUGGAAUCACAUUUGUAGGAGUCCUGUCUGCAUGUGUUCAUGCUGGAUUGGUUGAUGAAGGCCAUCAGUUAUUUGAUUCAAUGAACACCUCAUUUGGAUUGGUACCAACGAUUGAGCAUUAUUCUUGUAUGGUUGAUCUUUUAGCACGCGCAGGACAUUUGUAUGAAGCUUGGGACUUCAUUGAAAGGAUGCCUGGAAAACCAGAUGCAAUUGUACUAGGAGCAUUGCUUGGUGCUUGUCAGAAGCUCGAAAAUGUAGAUGUGGGUGAACGGGUGAGUAAAAUGCUUUUAGAGAUGGAGCCAUCAAAUUCUGGAAACUAUAUUAUCUCAUCUCAGAUAUAUGCAAAUUUUAGAAGGUGGGAUGACUCAGCAAAAAUGAGGGUGUUGAUGAGACGGCAUGGUGUCACUAAGAUUCCUGGUUGUAGUUGGGUUGAGAUUGGAUCACAAUUUCAUGAAUUUCAUGCUGGUGAUACUUUACAUCAUCAUUCAAUAGAAAUCUAUGAUUUACUGAAUGAGGAAAUGAAAAGGGAAGGCUACAUUCCUAAGAUUGACUCUGUGUAGAGAUGGAAAAGUCAAGAAACUUGCUUAUUUCGUCAACCAAUGGAAAUGUGCUUGGUCCUUUAUAUGUUUAGCUGCAAAUAUAUGAUAGAAGGACAUGCUUGGAAGACUGAAAUCUGGAAAUGCAUUCUGCCAUAGUUUAAGAGGCAAGAGUGAACUGUAUUCUUUUGGAACUAUUUAUUGUUGGAGCAUCUUUCCAUGUGUUUUACCUGCUUGAUGAAUGGCCGGUAAUGCAUUCCUAACGAAUGUUUGGAUCUGUGCCUGGGUCUGAGCUUCCUAACCUUCUGCUGGGAAGAAGAAGUCCCCUGAAAAAGUGUCCGCCGUUAAGUUAAAGAGGCUGCCUCAUUGGCAGCUGGAAUUCCGUGCUUGGCCUGCUGCCUGUUUUUUUUGUGAGUCCCGGUAGAAUGACUCCCAGAUUUAUUACCAAAGUUUAAGAGGCAAGAGAGUCAUCAUCAAUUGCAAAGUAGAACCAAAAGCCUGGAGGAGGCUAAGAGGAAAAUUGAGGUAUUCAUGUCUGCUGUACAGAAACUGGAAAUUGGAUGGCUAAAGUAUGGGAAUUUUGAUGCAUUAUUUGUCUAUUUAUAGAAGAGAGUUUUGGAUGCUUUCAGGUUAUAGCAUGCCUCUACGAAAUCUCGUUAUUUAUAUGUGGGUAUUCCUCUAUAGGCUUGAAAUUUAUUUUAGUAUUAAUUUGAUUAUCUUAUAAAUAAACUUGAAAAUUUCAUUUUGUUUCUAUUUUAGAACAUCCAUUUUUAAGUCCCAUGACUUUUGGUUGUUGAGUUGUCUAGGAGCGCUAAUGUCUGGUAUCAGAGUUGAGAAGGUCAGCAAGCUACUGAAUUAGCUUAUGCCGGAUGAAAUAUAUUACAAGCUCAAAGAGCUACUUGCUCUGUUGAGUUUAAACUUUUACUAAUUGGUGAUAUUUGCUCUGUUGCAGGGGCUCUGUUGAGUUUAAACUUUUACUAAUUGGUGAUAUUUGCUUUGUUGCAGUUUAUAUCAGUUACAGCUAUAUGCUUUACAUGCUUCUUAAUUAGAUAUUUUGACAUGCUGCAAAAAUAAUUUUUUUUUUUCGUUUUUGCUGCGGUUUAUUGAUGUUGAAUUGUUGUUGUGUUUUAGAGUCUAAAAAGUAAAAGGAGUCUAUAUCUGCAUGCUCUUUAGCUAGCCUAGAUGCAGGAUUUUUUACUUUAUAUUGCAGGCUUUUACUCACUAACUUGGGGGCUAGUAGAUUGAUAAUGAGAAUCUAAUCAUUAUUAAUAUUUCAUUGGAGUCCGCAGUCUCUUUUCAGCAUUAGAUUAAUUUAUAAGCUUUUAUGGGUCCUCUUGCUCGUCUUUGAAGGAAAGAUUGAUACGAACAUCUACAACAUUUGCUGCUGCCAUGAUCAAUCUCGUUCCUAUUGUGAACCUAAUCAUGACCUUUUUUGGGUUAAUAAAUUUUGGUUUAGGAUGGGGAGAAUGAAACUGAGAACAAUAAUGGGAAACAAAGAUACUAGGGACUCAACUGCAGUUGGAGGAGCGGUGGUUAUAGAAAAUAAUAACCAUAUUGCAAUAUAUAGAAAAUUUACUAUGGCUA